Molecule: ribosomal RNA, 449 nt
Filed under: uncultured bacterium
Lineage: Bacteria
Description: bacterial SSU rRNA
Rfam family: Bacterial small subunit ribosomal RNA
Source: RNAcentral
UCGAGAAUCUUUCGCAAUGGGGGCAACCCUGACGAAGCGACGCCGCGUGCAGGAUGAAGGUCUUCGGAUUGUAAACUGCUGUCAGCUGGGAAGAAAAGCCGCGUUUUAAUAAAUCGUGGUCUUGACGGUACCAGCAGAGGAAGCCACGGCUAACUCUGUGCCAGCAGCCGCGGUAAUACAGAGGUGGCGAGCGUUGUUCGGAUUUAUUGGGCGUAAAGGGUCCGUAGGCGGUUCGAAAAGUCGGAUGUGAAAUCCCACAGCUCAACUGUGGAACUGCAUUCGAAACUUUCGAACUAGAGUAUGAGAGGGGUAAAGGGAAUUCCCGGUGUAAGGGUGAAAUCUGCAGAGAUCGGGAGGAACACCAGUCGCGAAGGCGCUUUACUGGCUCAUUACUGACGCUCAGGGACGAAAGCUAGGGUAGCAAACGGGAUUAGAUACCCCGGUAGUCC